Molecule: ribosomal RNA, 500 nt
Filed under: uncultured bacterium
Lineage: Bacteria
Description: partial 16S ribosomal RNA
Rfam family: Bacterial small subunit ribosomal RNA
Source: RNAcentral
AUUGAACGCUGGCGGCAUGCCUUACACAUGCAAGUCGAACGGCAGCACGGGUGCUUGCACCUGGUGGCGAGUGGCGAACGGGUGAGUAAUACAUCGGAACGUACCUUAUCGUGGGGGAUAACGCAGCGGAAGCUGUGCUAAUACCGCAUACGCCCUGAGGGGGAAAGCGGGGGAUCGAAAGACCUCGCGCGAUUAGAGCGGCCGAUGCCUGAUUAGCUUGUUGGUGGGGUAAAAGCCCACCAAGGCGACGAUCAGUAGCUGGUCUGAGAGGACGAUCAGCCACACUGGGACUGAGACACGGCCCAGACUCCUACGGGAGGCAGCAGUGGGGAAUUUUGGACAAUGGGGGCAACCCUGAUCCAGCAAUGCCGCGUGAGUGAAGAAGGCCUUCGGGUUGUAAAGCUCUUUUGUCAGGGAAGAAACACCGGCUCUAACACAGUCCGGGAAUGACGGUACCUGAAGAAUAGCACCGGCUAACUACGUGCCAGCAGCCGCCGUAA